AUGAACGCUGGCGGCGUGCCUAAUACAUGCAAGUCGAGCGAACAGACGAGGAGCUUGCUCCUCUGACGUUAGCGGCGGACGGGUGAGUAACACGUGGAUAACCUACCUAUAAGACUGGGAUAACUUCGGGAAACCGGAGCUAAUACCGGAUAAUAUAUUGAACCGCAUGGUUCAAUAGUGAAAGACGGUUUUGCUGUCACUUAUAGAUGGAUCCGCGCCGCAUUAGCUAGUUGGUAAGGUAACGGCUUACCAAGGCAACGAUGCGUAGCCGACCUGAGAGGGGAUCGGGCCACACUGAACUGAGACACGGUCCAGACUCCUACGGGAGGCAGCAGUAGGGAAUCUUCCGCAAUGGGCGAAAGCCUGACGGAGCAACGCCGCGUGAGUGAUGAAGGUCUUCGGAUCGUAAAACUCUGUUAUUAGGGAAGAACAAAUGUGUAAGUAACUAUGCACGUCUUGACGGUACCUAAUCAGAAAGCCACGGCUAACUACGUG
RNAcentral lists this ribosomal RNA (495 nucleotides) under uncultured bacterium. Its description in RNAcentral is "partial 16S ribosomal RNA". It matches the Rfam family "Bacterial small subunit ribosomal RNA", at positions 29 to 507 of the family's 1533-position model. The record is from RNAcentral.